AAAAUAAAUUACCAAAAGGGAGUGAAAUAUAAAUUAUUUAUCAAAAGGGGUUGAGAUUUGAUGACUUGGCAGAGAGAGACUCAACUAUGAUUAGUGUCUAGCUAUUUGGAAAAAAUUAAAUAAGUUUUUGUGGACUGAAGUGGCAAAAAAAAUAAAAAUAAAAAAGCGGGACGCUACCUAUGGUAGAGAUCAAGACCUGCACCUUGACAGAGAUUCUUUAGCGUAGUGUAAAUUAUAAAAAAAUAAUUAAAAAAUAAAGUUUCAGCAGGAUGCAACCUAGGAUAGUGCCUACCUACUACCUGACGUGACCCAUUCAGUUGGGCGCUACCCGUGGUAGCAUUUAGUUGCAUGGCUUCUAUCAGGUAGUAGCGAGAAGCACCCCUAGCAUGUCCAAUCACGUCCCUUACAGUAU
This 412-nucleotide unclassified non-coding RNA is filed under the name Hevea brasiliensis (rubber tree). Lineage: Eukaryota; Viridiplantae; Streptophyta; Magnoliopsida; Malpighiales; Euphorbiaceae. The record is from RNAcentral.